UGGCUGUCCUCGCCACAGUUAUUGCGGGCGGAACAACCUUUGAGCUGUUCACUAAACAUUGGGAUACAGAACGGAAAAAUGCUAUUUACUACAAGUGCAUCACUGCAUUCUCACUCCUGGGUAACAGUAAACGAAUCCUGCAAGUUACGAAGGAUGGCAACCCUGAAACACGAUGCUACAAGUUUGUGUUUGGCCUACGUUUUUUAAGCAUAUUCUGGAUAUGCUUGGGUCAUUCCUAUGCAACAAUCAACGAAAACCUAACAAGGCUCGCUAACGCCGUGUUCAUAUUCGAAAGCUGGGAGUCACCAAUCAUAUCAGCAGGCUUCAUGGCUGUGGACACGUUUUUCUUCAUGAG
Long non-coding RNA from Rhipicephalus microplus (southern cattle tick), 355 nucleotides. The record is from RefSeq and is a predicted model, not a curated record. NCBI's taxonomy places the organism in Eukaryota, Metazoa, Arthropoda, Arachnida, Ixodida, Ixodidae.